GACGAACGCUGGCGGCGUGCUUAACACAUGCAAGUCGAACGCCGAAGCACCAGCUUGCUGGUGUGGAUGAGUGGCGAACGGGUGAGUAAUACGUGAGUAACCUGCCCUUGACUCUGGGAUAAGUCCGGGUAACUGGGUCUAAUACUGGAUGCUACAUGUAACCGCAUGGUGGUGUGUGGAAAGGGUUUACUGGUCUUGGAUGGGCUCACGGCCUAUCAGCUUGUUGGUGAGGUAAUGGCUCACCAAGGCGACGACGGGUAGCCGGCCUGAGAGGGUGACCGGCCACACUGGGACUGAGACACGGCCCAGACUCCUACGGGAGGCAGCAGUGGGGAAUAUUGCACAAUGGGCGAAAGCCUGAUGCAGCGACGCCGCGUGAGGGAUGACGGCCUUCGGGUUGUAAACCUCUUUCAGCAGGGAAGAAGCCACAAGUGACGGUACCUGCAGAAGAAGCGCCGGCUAACUACGUGCCAGCCGCCGCCGUAA
This 486-nucleotide ribosomal RNA is filed under the name uncultured bacterium. RNAcentral describes it as "partial 16S ribosomal RNA". It matches the Rfam family "Bacterial small subunit ribosomal RNA", at positions 28 to 523 of the family's 1533-position model. The record is from RNAcentral.